Polyodon spathula (Mississippi paddlefish) is the source of this 189-nucleotide small nuclear RNA. RefSeq annotates it as U2 spliceosomal RNA. NCBI's taxonomy places the organism in Eukaryota, Metazoa, Chordata, Actinopteri, Acipenseriformes, Polyodontidae. The transcript has a single exon. The record is from RefSeq and is a predicted model, not a curated record.
AUCGCUUGUAGAGACUUUUGGCUAAGAUCAAGUGUAGUAUCUGUUUUAUCAGUUUAAUAUCUGAUACGUCCCCCAUAGGGGACCAUCUAAUUAAAUGAUUUUUGGAAUGAAAGACUGAGAAAGGGGCUUGCUCCGUCCACUCCACGCAUCGACCCGGUAUUGCAGUGAGAGGGAACGGAUGCACACCUU